This 1127-nucleotide ribosomal RNA is filed under the name Campylobacter jejuni. Its description in RNAcentral is "partial 23S ribosomal RNA". It matches the Rfam family "Bacterial large subunit ribosomal RNA", at positions 709 to 1845 of the family's 2925-position model. The record is from RNAcentral. Lineage: Bacteria; Pseudomonadati; Campylobacterota; Epsilonproteobacteria; Campylobacterales; Campylobacteraceae.
GUAGACCCGAAACCGGGUGACCUAUCCAUGGCCAGGUUGAAGCGAGGGUAAAACCUCGUGGAGGACCGAACCACGUUGCUGUUGAAAAAGCAUGGGAUGAGCUGUGGAUAGCGGAGAAAUUCCAAUCGAACUCGGAUAUAGCUGGUUCUCCUCGAAAUAGCUUUAGGGCUAGCGUCGUGAAAUGUGAGUACUGGAGGUAGAGCACUGAAUAGGCUAGGGGGCAUAGCGCUUACCGAACCUUAUCAAACUCCGAAUGCCAGAUACUAUCAGCACGGCAGUCAGACUAUGAAAGAUAAGUUCCAUGGUCAAAAGGGAAACAGCCCAGAUCGUCAGCUAAGGUCCCAAAGUGUAAGUUAAGUGGAAAAGGAUGUGGGAUUUCUAAGACAACUAGGAUGUUGGCUUAGAAGCAGCCACUCAUUAAAAGAGUGCGUAAUAGCUCACUAGUCAAGAGAUCCUGCGCCGAAAAUGUCCGGGGCUCAAACUUACCACCGAAGCUACGGGUUCAUACUUUGUAUGAGCGGUAGAGGAGCGUCGUAAUCGGGCUGAAGUCGUACCGUAAGGAGCGGUGGACUGAUUACGAGUGAGAAUGUUGGCAUUAGUAGCGAGAUGUAGGUGAGAAUCCUACAGGCCGAAUAUCUAAGGUUUCCUGAGUAAAGUUUGUCUUCUCAGGGUUAGUCGGGACCUAAGGCGAGGCCGAGAGGCGUAGUCGAUGGACAAUUGGUUGAUAUUCCAAUACCACUAUAAUCGUUAUUAUCGAUGGUGUGACGGAGAAGGAUAGGAUGUGCCAGCUAUUGGAUGCUGGUCUAAGCGUUGAGGGAGUUAGAACAGGCAAAUCCGUUCUAACAAUCCUAGGGCGUGAUGGGGAAGGUUCUACGGAACCGAAGUAUCUGAUUUCAUGCUUCCAAGAAAAGCAUCUAGAAAGAGAAGUAGUGCCCGUACCGCAAACCGACACAGGUAGAUGAGGAGAGAAUCCUAAGGCCGACGGAAGAAUCACAGUUAAGGAACUAGGCAAAUUGACCCCGUAACUUCGGGAGAAGGGGUGCCUACCAUUUGGUAGGCCGCAGAGAAUAGGCACAAGCAACUGUUUAACAAAAACACAGGUCUCUGCUAAAGCGUAAGCUGAUGUA